This 1379-nucleotide long non-coding RNA is filed under the name Carica papaya (papaya). Its description in RNAcentral is "long non-coding RNA (CPAP_LNC009419)". The record is from RNAcentral. Lineage: Eukaryota; Viridiplantae; Streptophyta; Magnoliopsida; Brassicales; Caricaceae.
ACGACUGUGAUGCCGUGCAUGCGUUUGGACGAUCAGAUGAUGGGUCAAAUUAAGUUAAAAGCUUCCUUCUCUUCACAACUUCGUCUUCAUCUUCUUCAAACCCAUAAUUCCAGUUAAAUAAGCGUCUGAGAAGGGAGGUUGAGAGCAGAAAAAACAAAGAGAGAGAGAGAGAGAGAGAAAGCUAGAGAGAGAAACCACACAACCAAAAUAGAGCAUCCGUUCUGGGUGCGUGAAAAUGGAUUUUCAUCCUUCCUCACUUCCUUAGAUGUCUAUGAUCACCUAUAUACGUUACCCAAUCACCAAAUUACCGUAGCAAGCUUCAGAAGUUGAAAUUGUGUUGUUGAAUCGGAACAACGCCCCCGUUCAGGUAGGUGUUUGUUCUUCGUUUAAAUUUCUUCCUAAUUUUUUUAUUUUCUUUCCAAAAUCUUGUAGUUAGUUGUUAGACUAACAAGUUAGGAGUGUUAGGAAAUUAUUUCUCAAAGUUAAAUGAAUCAUAAACGUGAAAAUUAAUUAAAACUCUCACCAUAUUCUGUUUUAAUUACCGUAAGUUGAAAAGGAAGUUUUUUGAAAUUUCCAGCAUUCCUUCGUGCAAAAUUUGUUUCUGUUUUGUGUAUACAUCAGUUAAGAUAGACUGAAAUCUUGUUGGUGCAUGGUACGCAAUUUUUAUAUGCUUAAAAAUAACAUGUUUUCGUGAAUUAAUCGUGUUAUGUGCGUGUGUGAAGGGAAAACAGUGUUUGUCCGUGUGUGAGUGUUAUAUGUUAGAUUUUUUCUAACAUUUUGAGUUUAACGGGGGUCUUGAUAUUCUUAUCAGGUUAUCAAUUUAAUGGACUCAUUUAAAAAUAAUCAAAUAUAGUUAAACAGUAUUAAUUCUUAAUAUAUCUGGUUUAAGUAUGAGCUUAUAAUAUUCAUAUACUAUUUUUAUAAUAUUCUUAUUUUAUGAUGAACGAAAUAAAAAUUAUAAAAAUUUAUUGAUAUAAAAGGCGAUUGUUGUCUCCGAAUCACAAAAUUGCUAUUUUAUUUUUUAAAAAAUUUCAUUAUAGAAAAACUUAGUUUUUGAGACAUCAUACUAAUUCGAAAUAUUUUACGCCAAAUGCGAAAAAUUCUUUUACAAUAUAUACAGGUACGCUUCUACUUAUAUUUUUCAUUAAUUUAGUACGAAAUUAAUUUUUAUAGAUAUACAGAUUUAAAAAUUAUUUUUAUUUUAACAAUUAGUUUUAGAGCAAUUCUCAUAUUCAAGGUUUUUUUUGUUUUGUUAUUUUAGAUUUUGAGAAAUAUAUAUAUAUAUAUAUAUAUAUAUAUGUAUAAAGAUUAGAAAUAUAUAUAUUCAGGAUAUAGAAAAUAUAUAUAUAUGUAUUUUUUUAAAUUAGAAAAUAUCUAUU